GUAACGCGUAUACAAUCUACCUUUUACAGGGGGAUACUCCAGAGAAAUUUGGAAUAAUAUCCCAUAGUAUUAUAGAAUGGCAUCAUUUUAUAAUUAAAGUUCAGGCGGUAAAAGAUGAGUAUGCGUCCUAUUAGCUAGUUGGUAAGGUAACGGCUUACCAAGGCAACGAUAGGUAGGGGUCCUGAGAGGGAGAUCCCCCACACUGGUACUGAGACACGGACCAGACUCC
RNAcentral lists this ribosomal RNA (229 nucleotides) under uncultured bacterium. RNAcentral's name for it is "partial 16S ribosomal RNA". It matches the Rfam family "Bacterial small subunit ribosomal RNA", at positions 110 to 339 of the family's 1533-position model. The record is from RNAcentral.